This is a long non-coding RNA of Betta splendens (Siamese fighting fish), 812 nucleotides long. RefSeq lists it as uncharacterized. Lineage: Eukaryota; Metazoa; Chordata; Actinopteri; Anabantiformes; Osphronemidae. The record is from RefSeq and is a predicted model, not a curated record. The transcript is spliced from 3 exons.
AUAUUUUUAGUUAACACUAAUAAAGAAUUAUUUUUAAUUUGACUCUAGCUAAACUUGACACCUUAUGACAAAGUUUUUACCACGAAAGGAGUUUAUUCAGUGGUCACACAUUGACACUAAAAUGUAGUUAACUAAACUCCCAGAUAGUUUAUUCCAGAGCACGGAAUUUUCUGUGUUCCAAGAACAAAGGCCCACAAACACUCACAGUCCCGCUGGGACACCAGGGUCCCGUUUCACCUGAGACCUCCAGCGAGCGUAUGCGACACCAGUGGGCGGAGCGAAAGCCCCACGUCAUAAAAGCGCGCCACCUGACGUCUCCUCUGUUUUCUCUGGCAAAUCAAGGUCCUUCGACCUCCACAGGACCUGGUUCUCUGCUCAGAGGGAGACAGACUGGAACAGAACCUGCUCCCACUACAGCUCCACCGGGAAAGGAAUCCGUCGCCAAAAACAGAGGACGCUGUGAUCAGCUGAUCACCGGGACGAGACGGGAGCGAUAGACCGUGAGCUCGACACGACGACGGACGACUGCGACGGAAAGCAACACGGAGGACGAAGGGCCAAAACCGGGACCGAACAGCAAUCAACGCAACGAACGGAGGAAUCGGCCGGGUUGAGAUCCACCUGCUUCCUUGAACAACCAUGGAAGUACAGAAAACGAAACAAAGAGGAAGACGAUACUCAAGGCAGUAUCUUUGUCAGCAAUUUACUGCAAGAGGUAACCUAAAAAGUCAUCAGCAAGUUCAUGCAGGGGAAAGACCAUACACCUGCACUGAAUGUGGAGCAGCAUUUAAAAAGGUCAGUACGUUGACGUU